AUGUCACAUUUACCAUGCUUGCAGACCCCGAGAGUGCAGUGAGUUUUGAGUUUAUUUAAGUGCGAUUUCUUGUCUUUCUGUAUAUUUGAUAUGUCUAGUUAGCAUCUAGAAAGUAUUACCUUAUUUUUCCAGGCGGAUGUUGCUUGUGGAAAAUAUGGAGCUGAAAAAGGAAUGGGUCCAGGAAAAGGGUAUGAUUUAUUUUCUCUCCUCUGAAAAUUUAAAGGUUUGGACUUUACAAUUGUUUUUUAAGCACUGAGUGACAGUUAAAGAAUUCUAGUUAGUUUACUGUUAGUUAUGUGAUUGAGAUUGGAAGUGAUUCUAGUCAAGAAGUGCAGCAAAUGCAUUGUUGGUUUUGUUCAUUCGAAAAUGAAUUUUCUUCCUGCUGCUUAUUAUCUUAGAUGUUUGUCUUAGUUAUAUCUGUAACUAUGAAGUGAUAUGUAUCGAUGUAUUGUACUAGAUGAGGUACAUUCACGAUGGUGAGAGAUCAUAAAUAUUAUCUAAACUCAAAUGAAAUAGCGAGCUUAUUUCAUCAGUUAAAGAAUCUCCUAGAAUAACGUUACCAUUUGCAACGCUCUAACAAUUCUCAAGUGUCUAAUGCAGGUGGUGUGAGCUUGUAUAACUAAUGCAGUUUUUAUUUGCUAUAUACAGAAGAAAUUCAAAUGGCUCCCUCACUAUACUGAUGCUAUAAGACGUAAUUUUGAGAAAAUGGCAUCUGCAAGGAUGACACAACUUUUUCAAGAUGUUAGGAAAAACUUGCCUCUGAAAUCAAUGAAAUCGCACAAAGUGAGACGUGGCUAAGGUUGUUCCUGGAAUCUGUGUGGUGUAUCAAGUUUAUUCAUUCAUAAUU
Molecule: long non-coding RNA, 847 nt
Filed under: Solanum tuberosum (potato)
Lineage: Eukaryota; Viridiplantae; Streptophyta; Magnoliopsida; Solanales; Solanaceae
Description: long non-coding RNA (STUB_LNC005344)
Source: RNAcentral